UGUCUUAAUGUAUAUUUUAUAUUAAGUUUAACCUGCUCAAUGAUUAUUAAUUAAAUAGCCGCAGUAUUUUGACUGUGCGAAGGUAGCAUAAUCACUUGUCUUUUAAUUGAAGGCUUGAAUGAAUGGUUGGAUGAGAAAAUAACUUUCUUUAUAUUAUAAUGUAUAAUUUAAUUUUUAAGUUAAAAAGCUUAAAUUAUAUAGUGGGACGAGAAGACCCUAUAGAAUUUUAUUUAUUUAUUUAAAAAUUAAAUGUUGGGAAAUAUAUUUUUAUUUUUAAAUUAUAAAUUUUGUUGGGGUGACAUUGAGAUUUUUUUAACUCUCAUAUUUUAUAUUUUAUUAAUUUAUAUACAUAUAAUCCUUUAUUAAGGAAUUUAGAUUAAAUUACCUUAGGGAUAACAGCGUAAUUUUUUUGGAGAGUUCUUAUCGAUAAAAAAGUUUGCGACCUCGAUGUUGGAUUAAAAUUAGAUUUAAGUGCAGAAGCUUAAUUUCUAGGUCUGUUCGACCUUUAAAAUUUUACAUGAUCUG
Molecule: ribosomal RNA, 525 nt
Filed under: Aeliomorpha lineatocollis
Lineage: Eukaryota; Metazoa; Arthropoda; Insecta; Hemiptera; Pentatomidae
Description: partial large subunit ribosomal RNA
Rfam family: Bacterial large subunit ribosomal RNA (bases 392-525)
Source: RNAcentral